RNAcentral lists this ribosomal RNA (440 nucleotides) under uncultured bacterium. RNAcentral's name for it is "partial 16S ribosomal RNA". It matches the Rfam family "Bacterial small subunit ribosomal RNA", at positions 338 to 795 of the family's 1533-position model. The record is from RNAcentral.
CCUACGGGUGUCAGCAGUAGGGAAUAUUGCUCAAUGGGGGAAACCCUGAAGCAGCAAAGCCGCGUGGAGGAUGAAGGUUUUAGGAUUGUAAACUCCUUUUGUUAGAGAAGAUAAUGACGGUAUCUAACGAAUAAGCACCGGCUAACUCCGUCCCAGCAGCCGUGUUAAUACGGAGGCUGCAAGCGUUACUCGGAAGCUCUGGGCGUAAAGAGCGCGUAGGCGGGAUAGCAAGUCAGAUGUGAAAUCCUAUGGCUUAACCAUAGAACUGCAUGUUAAACUGUUAUUCUAGAGUAUGGGAGAGGUAGGUGGAAUUCUUGGUGUAGGGGUAAAAUACGUAGAGAUCAAGAGGAAUACUCAUUGCGAAGGCGACCUGCUAGAACAUAACUGACGCUGAUGCGCGAAAGCGUGGGGAGCAAACAGGAUUAGAUACCCCGGUAGUC